This 507-nucleotide ribosomal RNA is filed under the name uncultured bacterium. Its description in RNAcentral is "bacterial SSU rRNA". It matches the Rfam family "Bacterial small subunit ribosomal RNA", at positions 1 to 507 of the family's 1533-position model. The record is from RNAcentral.
CACGAGUUUGAUCCUGGCUCAGGAUGAACGCUAGCGGCAGGCUUAACACAUGCAAGUCGAGGGGUAGAAGGAGCUUGCUCCUUUGAGACCGGCGCACGGGUGCGUAACGCGUAUACAAUCUACCUUUACAGAGGGAUAGCCCAGAGAAAUUUGGAUUAAUACCUCAUAGUAUUUUCGGAUCGCAUGAUUUGAUUAUUAAAGUUCCAACGGUAAAAGAUGAGUAUGCGUCCCAUUAGCUAGAUGGUAAGGUAACGGCUUACCAUGGCAAUGAUGGGUAGGGGGUCCUGAGAGGGAGAUCCCCCACACUGGUACUGAGACACGGCCCAGACUCCUACGGGAGGCAGCAGUGGGGAAUUUUGGACAAUGGGCGCAAGCCUGAUCCAGCAAUGCCGCGUGCAGGAUGAAGGCCUUCGGGUUGUAAACUGCUUUUGUACGGAACGAAACGGUGAGCUCUAAUACAGUUUGCUAAUGACGGUACCGUAAGAAUAAGCACCGGCUAACUACGUG